GGUGUAGCCAAGUGGUAAGGCAACGGACUUUGACUCCGUCAUUCCGCUGGUUCAAAUCCAGCCAC
RNAcentral lists this transfer RNA (65 nucleotides) under human gut metagenome. It matches the Rfam family "tRNA", at positions 5 to 66 of the family's 71-position model. From Rfam's summary of the family: Transfer RNA (tRNA) molecules are approximately 80 nucleotides in length. The record is from RNAcentral.